This 429-nucleotide ribosomal RNA is filed under the name Bacteroidota bacterium. Its description in RNAcentral is "Bacteroidetes bacterium partial 16S ribosomal RNA". It matches the Rfam family "Bacterial small subunit ribosomal RNA", at positions 355 to 776 of the family's 1533-position model. The record is from RNAcentral. Lineage: Bacteria; Pseudomonadati; Bacteroidota.
UAGGGAAUCUUCCGCAAUGGACGCAAGUCUGACGGAGCAACGCCGCGUGAGUGAAGAAGGAUUUCGGUUCGUAAAACUCUGUUGUUAGAGAAGAACAGCGCAUAGAGUAACUGUUAUGCGUGUGACGGUAUCUAACCAGAAAGCCACGGCUAACUACGUGCCAGCAGCCGCGGUAAUACGUAGGUGGCAAGCGUUGUCCGGAUUUAUUGGGCGUAAAGCGAGCGCAGGCGGUCAAUUAAGUCUGAUGUGAAAGCCCCCGGCUCAACCGGGGAGGGUCAUUGGAAACUGGUUGACUUGAGUGCAGAAGAGGAGAGUGGAAUUCCAUGUGUGGCGGUGAAAUGCGUAGAUAUAUGGAGGAACACGAGUGGCGAAGGCGACUCUCUGGUCUGUAACGGACGCUGAGGUUCGAAAGCGUGGGUAGCAAACAGG